GGAGAUGUAGCUCACUGGUAGAGUACUUGCCUAGCAUGCAUGAGGGCUGGGUUCUAUCUCCA
Molecule: transfer RNA, 62 nt
Filed under: Urocitellus parryii (Arctic ground squirrel)
Lineage: Eukaryota; Metazoa; Chordata; Mammalia; Rodentia; Sciuridae
Also listed under: 1 other name
Description: Spermophilus parryii (Arctic ground squirrel) tRNA
Rfam family: tRNA
About the family: Transfer RNA (tRNA) molecules are approximately 80 nucleotides in length. Their secondary structure includes four short double-helical elements and three loops (D, anti-codon, and T loops).
Source: Rfam by way of RNAcentral